RNAcentral lists this ribosomal RNA (517 nucleotides) under uncultured Hebeloma. RNAcentral's name for it is "eukaryotic LSU rRNA". Lineage: Eukaryota; Fungi; Basidiomycota; Agaricomycetes; Agaricales; Cortinariaceae. The record is from RNAcentral.
GCACGCCCACCAUCCUCAUCUCUCCACCUGUGCACCUCUUGUAGACUUGGAUUGACUUUCCGAGGCAACUCGGUCGGGAGGAUUGCUGGCAUCAGCUGGCUUUCUUUGCAUUUCCGGGUCUACGUUUUUCAUAUACCCCAUUGUAUGUAACAGAAUGUAAUAUUGGGCCCUUGUGCCUAUAAACCUUAUACAACUUUCAGCAACGGAUCUCUUGGCUCUCGCAUCGAUGAAGAACGCAGCGAAAUGCGAUAAGUAAUGUGAAUUGCAGAAUUCAGUGAAUCAUCGAAUCUUUGAACGCACCUUGCGCUCCUUGGUAUUCCGAGGAGCAUGCCUGUUUGAGUGUCAUUAAAUUCUCAACCUUUAUCACUUUUUGCUGAUAAUGGCUUGGAUAUGGGGGUCUAUUUUGCUGGCUUCUUUACGGAUGGUCAGCUCCCCUUAAAUGCAUUAGCCGGUGCCCYGCGUGGACUGUCUAUUGGUGUGAUAAUUAUCUACGCCGUGGACAUCUGCAAUUAUAUGG